Molecule: long non-coding RNA, 463 nt
Filed under: Trifolium pratense (red clover)
Lineage: Eukaryota; Viridiplantae; Streptophyta; Magnoliopsida; Fabales; Fabaceae
Description: long non-coding RNA (TPRA_LNC013811)
Source: RNAcentral
ACCAAAACCAGGCCCAAGCAAUAACUUUAAUGUCAUCCACUAAAGAAGAGACAUUAGACAAACUUCCAUUGAAUACCACAUUAUUUCUAAGCUUUCAAGAACACCAAAAGAUAGCUAACCAAAUCAAGUGACUAAUGUGGUUACCUUAUUUUUGGUUUAACCAUAUUUCUGAAGUGUAAAAAGUGAUUUCAUCCUUCCUAUCUAAAGACCUCUUUCCACACACCUUAGAAGGGACGUCAUCUACUAUAAAACUAUAUCGAAAGGUAAAUAUUUCAGUGUUCCAUAAAGACCAGGGACGGAACCAGAAAAAAUCAUCGGGGGUGGCGGAAAUAUUUUUAAUAUAUACGAGUAGCUUAGGAUGAAUCAGAAUCAUCGGCUUCUCUCUUCUAUUUUUUUUUUUGGUCAAGUAGGCUUCUCUCCUUAAAGAAUGAUGAAAAAUAUUUUCGAGUUACCAUGCUUCAAC